GUGGAUAACUUCGGGAAACCGGAGCUAAUACCGGAUAAUAUUUUGAACCGCAUGGUUCAAAAGUGAAAGACGGUCUUGCUGUCACUUAUAGAUGGAUCCGCGCUGCAUUAGCUAGUUGGUAAGGUAACGGCUUACCAAGGCAACGAUGCAUAGCCGACCUGAGAGGGUGAUCGGCCACACUGGAACUGAGACACGGUCCAG
This 201-nucleotide ribosomal RNA is filed under the name uncultured Staphylococcus sp. RNAcentral describes it as "partial 16S ribosomal RNA". It matches the Rfam family "Bacterial small subunit ribosomal RNA", at positions 139 to 334 of the family's 1533-position model. Lineage: Bacteria; Bacillati; Bacillota; Bacilli; Caryophanales; Staphylococcaceae. The record is from RNAcentral.